UCGCUCUUUACCGAGCGUACGUCUAGGGCGAAGGAGUCGGUUCCUCGUUCAGCGAAAUCAUUAAACAUCUUCCACAAUGUUUAUCUUCAAAGUACACCAAACCAGUGCCAUCAUGGACAACAACCCGUUGAAGCCACGAGGAAGGACCAGCGUGGAGGUGCUUGAUGCCAUGUGAGCUUCAUAAGGGAGGAAAUUGCAAAGCUUAAUAGGAAGCCGGACAUCAAGCCACUGCUGAAGGCCACGAUGUGCCGAUGGCUGCAAGCCGAAGAAGCUGGAGAGUGCUUUUAAGGUUUCCAGCUCGCAGCUGAGCCCAGGAGCCUGUUUACCUGGUGGAGAUGCAGUGCACACCCUCACGAAGAUGCAGACUCCCACGGAGGCUAUAUCCCAACCUUCCCAGAGUGGCUGGAUGUCACAAAGAAGUUCUGGCACUUGGACAAACAUUAGAAUUCGUAUUAAUUUCCUUUUUUACAAAAUAUCCAAUUUGAUUUGAAGGUAGCUGUAUAAUCUUUCAUGUAGCUCAUUGCGUUAGAGCAUGGCGCUAGCAAGGUUAUGAGUUCGGUCCCAGGCGAUUGCACAUACUCUGAUAUAAUGUAUGGUGUGCUUGUCGCAUUGGAUAAAAGCGUCUGCUGAAUGCGUAAAUGUUACCAACAGAUAAAUCUGCCCUGUUCCUUAUAGAAAGUUGUUUUGUUUAAACUUAUUCAAGUAUUUGUUCUAUGUGAAUUCAUGGCAGAAUUUAUAAUUUUUGUGAAGUUGUGUACUGUGUACAUACCCUGUGUACUAAAGCAUACAGCUACUCUGUAUUCAUACUGUAAUCGCAGUAAAUGUUAUGGUUAAACAUCUGUAUCCAAAUUCAGACUUAUGCAUUUUGGAUCAAUCUAUGGAAGACUUUAAGACAAUACAAAACAAAUAAACAGCUGUUUCCUGUCA
This is a long non-coding RNA of Triplophysa dalaica, 927 nucleotides long. RefSeq lists it as uncharacterized. NCBI's taxonomy places the organism in Eukaryota, Metazoa, Chordata, Actinopteri, Cypriniformes, Nemacheilidae. The record is from RefSeq and is a predicted model, not a curated record. The transcript is spliced from 4 exons.